This 460-nucleotide ribosomal RNA is filed under the name uncultured bacterium. Its description in RNAcentral is "partial 16S ribosomal RNA". It matches the Rfam family "Bacterial small subunit ribosomal RNA", at positions 338 to 795 of the family's 1533-position model. The record is from RNAcentral.
CCUACGGGUGGCAGCAGUGAGGAAUAUUGGUCAAUGGACGAGAGUCUGAACCAGCCAAGUAGCGUGAAGGAUGACUGCCCUAUGGGUUGUAAACUUCUUUUAUAAAGGAAUAAAACGAGGCACGUGUGCCUUUUUGCAUGUACUUUAUGAAUAAGGAUCGGCUAACUCCGUGCAAGCAGCCGCGGUAAUACGGAGGAUCCGAGCGUUAUCCGGAUUUAGUGGGUUUAAAGGGAGCGUAGAUGGGUUGUUAAGUCAGUUGUGAAAGUUUGCGGCUCAACCGUAAAAUUGCAAUUGAUACUGGCAGUCUUGAGUACAGUUGAGGUAGGCGGAAUUCGUGGUGUAGCGGUGAAAUGCUUAGAUAUCACGAAGAACCCCGAUUGCGAAGGCAGCUUACUAAACUGUGACUGACAUUGAUGCUCGAAAGUGUGGGUAUCAAACAGGAUUAGAUACCCCUGUAGUC